Molecule: ribosomal RNA, 254 nt
Filed under: uncultured bacterium
Lineage: Bacteria
Description: partial 16S ribosomal RNA
Rfam family: Bacterial small subunit ribosomal RNA
Source: RNAcentral
UACGGAAGAUCCAAGCGUUAUCCGGAAUUACUGGGCGUAAAGAGUUGCGUAGGUGGCAUAGUAAGCAGGUAGUGAAAGCGUGUGGCUCAACCACAUUUCCAUUACUUGAACUGCUAAGCUUGAGCAUAAGAGAGGUAGCUGGAAUUCCUAGUGUAGGAGUGAAAUCCGUAGAUAUUAGGAGGAACACCGAUGGCGUAGGCAGGCUACUGGCUUAUUGCUGACACUAAGGCACGAAAGCGUGGGGAGCGAACGGG